Molecule: ribosomal RNA, 724 nt
Filed under: Phialocephala fortinii
Lineage: Eukaryota; Fungi; Ascomycota; Leotiomycetes; Helotiales; Mollisiaceae
Description: eukaryotic LSU rRNA
Rfam family: Eukaryotic large subunit ribosomal RNA (bases 450-724)
Source: RNAcentral
GCGGUUAGGAGCUUACACCCACCCGUGUUUACAUACUAUUGUUGCUNAGGCGGGCCGUGGCCUCCACUGCGGGCUCUGCUCGUGUGUGCCCGCCAGAGGACCAAACUCUGAAUGUUAGUGAUGUCUGAGUACUAUCUAAUAGUUAAAACUUUCAACAACGGAUCUCUUGGUUCUGGCAUCGAUGAAGAACGCAGCGAAAUGCGAUAAGUAAUGUGAAUUGCAGAAUUCAGUGAAUCAUCGAAUCUUUGAACGCACAUUGCGCCCUGUGGUAUUCCGCAGGGCAUGCCUGUUCGAGCGUCAUUUAACCACUCACGCCUAGCGUGGUAUUGGGGCACGCGGUCUCGCGGCCCUCAAAAUUAGUGGCGGCGCCGGUGGGCUCUAAGCGUAGUACAUACUCCCGCUAUAGAGUUCCCCCGGUGGCUCGCCAGAACCCCCAAUUUUUUACAGGUUGACCUCGGAUCAGGUAGGGAUACCCGCUGAACUUAAGCAUAUCAAUAAGCGGAGGAAAAGAAACCAACAGGGAUUACCUCAGUAACGGCGAGUGAAGCGGUAACAGCUCAAAUUUGAAAGCUGCCAACAGGCCGCGUUGUAAUUUGUAGAAGCUGCUUUGGGUGUCGGCCCGGUCUAAGUUCCUUGGAACAGGACGUCAUAGAGGGUGAGAAUCCCGUAUGUGAUCGGUGCCGUUGCCCGUGUAAAGCGCUUUCGACGAGUCGAGUUGAUUGGG